RNAcentral lists this ribosomal RNA (490 nucleotides) under uncultured bacterium. RNAcentral's name for it is "partial 16S ribosomal RNA". It matches the Rfam family "Bacterial small subunit ribosomal RNA", at positions 30 to 507 of the family's 1533-position model. The record is from RNAcentral.
AUUGAACGCUGGCGGCAUGCUUUACACAUGCAAGUCGGACGGCAGCACAGAGGAGCUUGCUUCUUGGGUGGCGAGUGGCGAACGGGUGAGUAACGCAUCGGCACGUACCAAGUAAUGGGGGAUAACUGUCCGAAAGGACAGCUAAUACCGCAUACGCCCUGAGGGGGAAAGCGGGGGAUCUUAGGACCUCGCGUUAUUCUAGCGGCCGAUGUCUGAUUAGCUGGUUGGGGGGGUAAAGGCCCACCAAGGCGACGAGCAGUAGCGGGUCUGAGAGGAUGAUCGGCCACACUGGGACUGGGACACGGACCAGACUCCUACGGGAGGCAGCAGUGGGGAAUUUUGGACAAUGGGCGCAAGCCUGAUCCAGCCAUGCCGCGUGUCUGAAGAAGGCCUUCGGGUUGUAAAGGACUUUUGUCAGGGAAGAAAAGGGGCAUGUUAAUACCGUGCUCUGAUGACGGUACCUGAAGAAUAAGCACCGGCUAACUACGUG